Molecule: small RNA, 49 nt
Filed under: Caenorhabditis elegans
Lineage: Eukaryota; Metazoa; Nematoda; Chromadorea; Rhabditida; Rhabditidae
Description: Unclassified non-coding RNA F53A3.8
Source: RNAcentral
UUUUGAAUUUCCCGGGGUACGAUAGCCCCAAAAGUACGCAAACACCAAG